GACCUGAACAGAAGAUGCAACUUCAGGCGCAGACCUCUGGGAGCCCUGAGAUGGUCCAGAUUCUGUUUAAAGGGUUUGUCUUAAAGAGUUAGAGAGAUAAUACCGUUAUCUGCAUUAGAGACCCUUGUGAGGAUUAAAUACAAACAUCCAUGUACAAUUUCUUAGCACAGGAACUGGCACAGAGAAACUGAAUCUGCUCUUCCCUCUGGACCAGAAUCUGAUCUCAAGUUCUCUAAGACCAUCAACCCGGGGCAGGAGCCCAGUAGCUCCAGCAUCUGCGUGACCAGAAAUGGGAUGAUGUGGCUCCUUGCUGGAGAUGUUUCAGCACAUUGAUUGCAAAACCCAGUGAGUUUCUCUCAGGUUUUGUUUCAGCUGCCAAGAGCCCAGGGCCUCAAGCCUUGUGAGCAGCUCCAGGAAUCUCAGGGAAUCGAGAAGAGACCCAGGACACUGGCAUUGGCAAAAUGUUGCUGGUGUGGCCGCGUGUAGCACUGAAGUGGCCUGGAGGGUGCGGCCCAUUCGGAAGAGCUGUGGCUGGAAAGAGUUUGUACAUAAGGGACAGCAAGCAAAUGCACAUGAAGCCAGUGACUAUGAAGUCGGUCAGAUUGAAUUGACUCAGUUUUUCUCAAGUCUUCAAGCGUGAAGCAUUGCAAACCUUCGAGUGUACACUGGGGAAAGAAAGGAAGGGAAAAAAGGACUCCACGGCAAAACCUAAGGAAAAGCCUGUGAAAAGAAAACGGCAAGAUAGAGCAACACGAUUUCAAAUCUUAAUCUCCUGAAAUGGUGCUUCUAAAGCUGCACUUUCCACAUUUCUAAGUGAGACUCUUCAAAACUCUGUGUCAAAUCAUGUUAUAACCUUGCUUCUUAUCUGUCUGCGAUGGCUUUCAAGGGCCAGUAAUUCCCCACAUGCGGCAGAAAAGUUCACAGUAGAGAUUUGUGCACUUGGCUAAGCUUCCCGCCUUGCUUUUUGUGGAGUGCUGGUGAAGGAGAGAGAUUUCUUUUCCCUUUCAGAACUAAUGCAACUGCCAAGGACACAGGCUAGAAGCAAACCAAAUCACUCACUUGGACACAUAAUCUGCAGGACAACAACUUAAUAUUAGACUCUCUGCUUUUGUCCAGUAAAACACAUGGCCUGGUAGAAUGCCCCUGCAAUUUUUUAAAUUAAAAACUGGCAGACAAGACCACAAGUACAGGGGAGACUUUUUUGCUGCCUUCUUGCUAGACACCCUCCCUUGCCCCAUCACCAGAGAUGACCUGGAGUCUUGGGCGCUGGCUGCUGGGGUGACAGUGGUGCAGGGGGCUGAGGAAAGAAGAGUCAUGGAAAUCUUAAUAAACUGCAGAGAGAGGGUGUCAUCUGCCAUAGGAAGGGUGGAGGCCACCUCACCGUCUCUUUCUCUACCUGCCUACUGGCCCUUGGACUGGCCUGAGGGUUUGCACAGGAAGAGGCAGGCGUGAAGAGCUCUGAACAGCAUUCCCUGCAUCAGGGGCCAUAAAUGCAAGUGUCAGCCAGGGUCUGGCAGGUAACAUCAGCAAGUAAAAUGGGUGAGGUCUAAGAAAAGAAAAGGAAGGAAGACAUUAUCUACUAUGUUAUUUGUUUUUGUUUUUUAAUAAAGAUAGUUUUAUUUCUUUACAAAAAAAAUUAAGAUGGCCAAGGCAGGUGGAUCACUUGAGGUCAGAAGUUUGAGACCAGCCUGAGCAAUAUGAUGAAGCCCCAUCUCUACUAAAAAUGCAAAAAUUAGCCGGGCGUGGUGGUGGGCACCUGUAAUCCCAGCUACUCGGGAGGCUGAAGCAGGAGAAUUGCUUGAACCCAGGAGGCAGAGGUUGCAAUGGGCCAAGAUUGCACCACUGCACUCCAGCCUGGGAGACAGAGAGAGACUCUACUUCAAAAAAUAAUAAUAAAAAAAAUUAAAAUAAAGAUGACAUUCUGAAACAAAAACAAAAUUAAUUCCUCUUGGCAAGCUGAUACACUUUCUUGUAUUAGGCACGAGAUCUAUUGUUCCCAUUUUCCCUUGACUUCCAAGAGGCUCAAAGCUAUAUUUUGUGCUUCCCUUUGAUUUUUUUUGGACCCAUCUUUCUCUCAUUCUCACCUGUCUCCUCUCCCAAUGUGCACACACAUUUUAUACACAUACAUCAUAUACACACAUAUAUAUGCCACAUACCCAUAUACGAGCAUCAUAGGCUCUUCUAUUUUUACCUCUGGCAUUUUUCCCUUUAUUGUAAGUUUUAUCACAAAUCCUUAUGACAGUAUGCAGUGUGAAGUAAUAAAUUAAUAAAACGAGUGCUUUCUACAUUCAGGAGGCUGAUGUUUCCAAUUCUUUAAUCAGACUACCACACCAUUAGCU
This 2339-nucleotide long non-coding RNA is filed under the name Homo sapiens (human). RNAcentral's name for it is "HSALNT0033293". Lineage: Eukaryota; Metazoa; Chordata; Mammalia; Primates; Hominidae. The record is from RNAcentral.